UCAAGAACGAAAGUUAGAGGUUCGAAGGCGAUCAGAUACCGCCCUAGUUCUAACUGUAAACGAUGCCAGCUAGCGAUCCGCCGGCGUUUCAUUAACGACCCGGCGGGCAGCUUCCGGGAAACCGAAGCUUUUCGGUUCCGGGGGAAGUAUGAUUGCAAAGUUGAAACUUAAAGGAAUUGACGGAAGGGCACCACCAGGAGUGGAGCCUGCGGCUUAAUUU
Punica granatum (pomegranate) is the source of this 220-nucleotide non-coding RNA. NCBI's taxonomy places the organism in Eukaryota, Viridiplantae, Streptophyta, Magnoliopsida, Myrtales, Lythraceae. The record is from Rfam.